This 500-nucleotide ribosomal RNA is filed under the name Billgrantia desiderata. RNAcentral's name for it is "bacterial SSU rRNA". It matches the Rfam family "Bacterial small subunit ribosomal RNA", at positions 193 to 674 of the family's 1533-position model. The record is from RNAcentral. Lineage: Bacteria; Pseudomonadati; Pseudomonadota; Gammaproteobacteria; Oceanospirillales; Halomonadaceae.
CCUACGGCAGAAAGCGGGGUCUCUUCGGACCUCGCUCUAUCGUAUGAUCCUAUGUCGGAUUAGCUGGUUGGUGAGGUAAUGGCUCACCAAGGCCACGAUCCGUACCUGGUCUGAGAGGAUGAUCAGCCACAUCGGGACUGAUACACGGCCCAAACUCCUACGACAGGCACCAGUGGGGAAUAUUGGACAAUGUGGGCAACCCUGAUCCAGCCAUGCCACGUGUGUGAAGAAGGCCUUCGGGUUGUAAAGCACUUUCAGCGCUGAAGAAAGCCUACAGGUCAAUACCCGGGAGGAAGGACAUCACUCGCAGAAGAAGCACCGGCUAACUCCGUGCCACCAGCCGCGGUCAUACGGAGGGUGCGAGCGUUAAUCGGAAUUACUGGGCGUUAAGCGCGCGUAAGCGGCUUGAUAAGCCGGCUGUGAUAUCACCGGGCUCAACCUGGGAACGGCAUCCAGAACUGUCAGGCUAUAGUGCACGAGAGUAAGGUAGAAUUCCCUGU